This 3247-nucleotide long non-coding RNA is filed under the name Triticum aestivum (bread wheat). RNAcentral's name for it is "long non-coding RNA (TAES_LNC006537)". Lineage: Eukaryota; Viridiplantae; Streptophyta; Magnoliopsida; Poales; Poaceae. The record is from RNAcentral.
UGAUAGAACUCAACAGAGUUGAAACCUAGACUCUGAUUGAGAAGUCCAAUUAAGAUGCCAUUGAGCACUCCAAAUCCCAUGACGGUCCUUGCGAGGUUUGUGCUUAAAGGGCUUCAUACAUAAUGCCACAUGAAGUCAAUAGAAUAGAACAAAGAUGCCAGCUUGUCAACAUGGUUGCUGCACAAUAAAGAAUAAAGGUGUUCUUAUUUGUAGGGAUAACAUUUCUGCCAAGUUAUACAUGACUUUCAAAGAUCAGUAAACUGAAUCCGAAAUUUACAUGCUGUAGAGGAAAAAAAUGGCAGGCAUAAUAUGAGACACAAAAUUAUACUACAAACAGGGGAUAUGCAAACGUCAAUGAUCUGAACAGAAGCUCUAAAUAAAUAAAGAAACAUCAAUUCAUAAGAAUUGAAACUCACUGCCUCCAGUUCCAUAGACCAAUACUCUGUUUUAUGUGAGUACAGUCUUCUAACACGUGAAAAAUUGCAAGGCUCGACCAAAUUCAGAGACAUAUUUAUCAGCAACGCAAGGUUCACCAACCACACAAAGUUAACUGAGAGUUCCAUAAUGUUCAGGGACGUUCACUUUCUAAGCUGUUUGUUCAUGGCAACAAAAAUAACACCGAAGAGAGUUCCUGUUGGAUGAAAGGGCAUGAAGCUAGGGUUGCAUUCUCUGUAAGAUCGGAAAUAAUUGAACACAUAAAAUUUAUCAAUGCCAAACAGCACCAAACUAUAGAGUAACACAAAUGCAAAUCAGAUCAGGAUUUAAGCAUACCUGUGGAUGGGACGAUUCAGCACCAUCAAGCGUCUCGGGGUAUGGAGGAGCAACUUGAUAAAGACACAUCAUAACAGAUGCAAACCCACACAAAAAGCCAAUGAGGGUCAAAGUUCUUUUUAGGUUCGCCAGUUCCGACUGGUAGAUUUCAGAUCUGUCAUUAAAAAAAUGUUAUUACAGACAGGUACAUGAGCAUGGAAAGCCAAAUAAGCAGCACUUAUGAGUAGACCUAGGAUGUAUCUAUAUGUCUGCAGAAGUGCAUAAUGAUGAAAGUAUACAUAAUCUGGUGCUUAAGCAAUUUCUGAACAAGCUACAGGGGUGGCUUGCCAUUGGAUGUCUAAACAUAGCCUGGUGCUUUCAAACAUGCAAACCAACUUCUAAACACGCUACAGGGACUGUAAACCUUCCUUUUUACAGUUCAGACAAAUAUGUCUGGUGCUUAAGAAACUUCUGAACAAGCUACAGGGGUGGCUUGAAUUCAAUGGCUAAACAUAGCUUGGUGCUUCCAAAUAUGCAGACCAACUUCUAAACAAGCUACAGAGGCUGUAAACCUUCAUUUUUAGAGUUCAGAUAAAUAACAUCAUGUAUAAGCCUUACCAGUCAAAACUAAGUUACCAACUGAAUAUAAAUUCGCAUUAGAUUAAUUGCUUUAAAUAUAGGAGGUUUUCUCUGUGGUAAUGUAUGUGAAGCUCUAUACUGUUAGUGCAAGAGGUAUACCUCACAGUAGCCUCAAGCAAUUUCUGUUUCUCACAGUUACUCUGCAUGGAAAACUUCAGCUCACCGACCUGUAUACAAAUAAAGUAAUUCAGCUCACCGCUACGUGGAUGGAAAAGACUAAGAACCAUGCUCAGGUAGCCUGCCAAUCACCUCUUAGAUAUGCUGGUUUAUUGUGUGUCUGGAUGGGGAGACAAAUGGUGGAGCACAAGACAGGAGAAAGGCGAAAGCAAGAUACUGGCGCAGAUGGUGAUGAAGACAUGCUUCCAAAACAGAAGUUGGGGGCUAUGGGUGGGGGAGAUGGAGCUCUUACCACGCACGUCAAUGAUGUCUGCCUUCCUUAUUUGUGGCAUCCGCGAUGCAGGGGACCAUCUCAAGAUCAAGUGAUGGGCUGCUAGCACAUGGCGACACCAACUCCAGACCAAGCACAUUGCUGCCUUCCACAAAUUCAAGACCGUAGCAGUGUGGCAGUAUUCCUAGUAACAACAUGGCUACAACAUAUCUUGGUUAUCAUAAUCUCUUCUCAAAUAUAUAAAGAAUCAAAAUAAAAGCUACAUAUUAUGAAAGCACUUCAGUUUAAUGUUUUUGACAUGGUUCUGCAGAAAACACCAAAACCAAAGCUAAUGUCGAAGCAGAAAAUAUCACCUACUUAAGAUUACAAUCUGGAUGAACCAAUCUGUACCUUCUUUUUGUUCAUUCUUGAUGCACAUGUCAAAAGAAGGGAUCUUAGUUAUCUUUCUUCCAGUGAAAACCUGAAAAUAGAGAUGCAUUAUGUUAAUUCUCUUUGCAAAAGAAUAGCACCACUUCUCCACUCAACCCAAUUUCCUUCAGAUUCAAUAUAAGCUAAGAUGAGUGAUUGCUGCUAGCAAAGGAAAUGCAAAUUGUUCAUCGAGAAUCCAAGUAGCAGAAAGGUAUCACGAGAGGGAGAUGGGCAGUCUGUGAGUAGUAUAAAGCAAUCUAUUUUUCUUGAAGAUUGAUUUAAAACUGAACAAAGAAAUAAGUAAAAGGAUAAUCUAACAAUGUAAUGCUCCUAGAUGACUCAACAAAGAACAAUUUACGGAUAUAUAAAUAUUAUAAUUACGAUGAAUACAACUCUACCUUCUUCUUCUGCCAACGUCAUAUUCCCUCCUCCAACUAUCACCUCUUCAUCUCAAAGCAGGCAGAUGAGCUCCUCCUAGACCAGCGGCAAGGCUUCCUCUCCUCUCCUCUUCCCUUCCCGUCGCCUGACCCGCUCGCUCUCCCUCGUCUCUUACCUUCCCUUCCCUUCUGAAAACGGGAGGGGGGAGGUUGCGGGCGGAGGCUGGCCGGAGGAGACGGGCGCGAGUGGCGGCGGCUGGCCGGGUGGAGGAGGUGCGGCGACGGCUGGCUGGGUGGAGGGGACGACGGCGCCUCCUUCUCCUCUUUCCUCUCUCUCUCUCUUUCUCCCUCCUCUCCUUCCAUCUUCUCCCUCUCAUCUUCUCUCUCUCCCGCAGAUCGAAUCGUGCGCCGCAGCUCACUCCGAAGGUGUCGUCCUCGGCCGCGAGGAGGAGGAUGCAGGGGAGCCCGUCCUGCGCAAACCCGGAGCAGGCGUUGGAAAUCAGGUUCGCCCGUGAAGCGCGUGGCCACGAUGGCCUGCACGCGAGCGAUGGGAAGGCAGGGAGGAGGAAGAGGCGAGGCGGUGGAGGAGUAGCCGGCGGCGGCGAGGCUCCUACGGCGUAGAAGGAGGAGGAGGAGGAGGAGGGAGGGAGUGGCGGCGGAUGAGGGAGGGGCGUGGGGCUGGGUU